GAUGAACGCUGGCGGCGUGCUUAACACAUGCAAGUCGAACGAUGAAGCUGGAGCUUGCUCUGGUGGAUUAGUGGCGAACGGGUGAGUAACACGUGAGCAACCUGCCCCUGACUCUGGGAUAACAGCCGGAAACGGCUGCUAAUACCGGAUAUGCACCAUGAACGCAUGUUCUGUGGUGGGAAAGAUUUUUCGGUUGGGGAUGGGCGCGCGGCCUAUCAGCUUGUUGGUGAGGUAAUGGCUCACCAAGGCGUCGACGGGUAGCCGGCCUGAGAGGGUGACCGGCCACACUGGGACUGAGACACGGCCCAGACUCCUACGGGAGGCAGCAGUGGGGAAUAUUGCACAAUGGGCGAAAGCCUGAUGCAGCAACGCCGCGUGAGGGAUGACGGCCUUCGGGUUGUAAACCUCUUUUAGCAGGGAAGAAGCGAGAGUGACGGUACCUGCAGAAAAAGCGCCGGCUAACUACGUG
This 469-nucleotide ribosomal RNA is filed under the name uncultured bacterium. RNAcentral describes it as "partial 16S ribosomal RNA". It matches the Rfam family "Bacterial small subunit ribosomal RNA", at positions 28 to 507 of the family's 1533-position model. The record is from RNAcentral.